RNAcentral lists this ribosomal RNA (254 nucleotides) under uncultured bacterium. Its description in RNAcentral is "partial 16S ribosomal RNA". It matches the Rfam family "Bacterial small subunit ribosomal RNA", at positions 524 to 776 of the family's 1533-position model. The record is from RNAcentral.
UACGUAGGGUGCAAGCGUUGUCCGGAAUUAUUGGGCGUAAAGAGCUCGUAGGCGGUCUGUCGCGUCGGAUGUGAAAACUUUCAGCUUAACUGGGAGCUUGCGGUCGAUACGGGCAUCACUGGAGUUCGGCAGGGGAGACUGGAAUUCCUGGUGUAGCGGUGAAAUGCGCAGAUAUCAGGAGGAACACCGGUGGCGAAGGCGGGUCUCUGGGCCGAUACUGACGCUGAGGAGCGAAAGCGUGGGGAGCGAACAGG